Molecule: long non-coding RNA, 630 nt
Organism: Helianthus annuus (common sunflower)
Lineage: Eukaryota; Viridiplantae; Streptophyta; Magnoliopsida; Asterales; Asteraceae
Exons: 2
Source: RefSeq, a predicted model, not a curated record
AUGAUUCUGGUUGAUGUUCUUCUGGUACAGGGCCUCCUAAUUUUUACAUGUCUUAUGUUUUCAGAUUUGGCAUUUGAAUUUUGAUACAGCUUCCUUCAAGUAUUUGUUUGUUUGUUGAUUUGGUGUUGAAUCAUGUGUUUCAUUCCUUUAGGUUUACCAUUGACGGUUUGGCGUAUUUAGAAUUGGGUUUUUUUCGGCUCUACUAGAUAUUUGUAAGUGGAUCUGUGCAUACUGAUACAUCUUAAGUUCCCAUUGCAGGCUGUUCCGUUCUGGUGCUGUUCGAAUUGGGGAUUUUACUCUACAGGCUGUCUCUUAGUCGAUUUGUGAUUCCAUCUUAACUUACCAGGCUGUGGCUGUGAGGACACUGUAAAUGUUUGGGCACCGCCAACAACAGGGUGGUGCUUGCUGGUGACUAAAUAUCCAACAAUCUCUGUUCAGCUUUGUGUAGCCAUAAUUACAAAAGGGAAUACAGUGAUGCUGGCCUUAUUUGUCUUUGUUAUGUAACUUUUGUAUCCUCCUAUGAAGUUAGGAGUAAACUAUAUAGGUGUGAUGGUGCAAAGGCACCUUAGGUGGUCCUAGCAUAUUAUUCCCAAGAGGCUGUGAAAUGAGUAUACAUUUAUAAGGACCAAA